RNAcentral lists this long non-coding RNA (3817 nucleotides) under Theobroma cacao (cacao). RNAcentral describes it as "long non-coding RNA (TCAC_LNC001908)". The record is from RNAcentral. Lineage: Eukaryota; Viridiplantae; Streptophyta; Magnoliopsida; Malvales; Malvaceae.
AACCUUGAAAUCUUGCUAAUUAUCUUCAAAUUGAAUUGUAAUGCAGCGAGAAACUCUUGGGUUCUUGCCUCUCGAAUCUCUCUGCAGUGAGAAUCCACUCUCACUGCAGCGAGAAACCUUCUGCCUUGUUACUACCUUGCUUGAUUUCUGCCAUAUUUUCUACUUCUUUAACCUCACUGUUGAUCAUGGAUUUUCAACAUCAAGGGAUUAGUUAAUCAAGUUUGAAAUGAGGGGUUUUAAUAAGAAUUAAACUAAAUUGCAUUGUUUUUGAAACUAAGUGCAUCAUGAUUUUUAAACUUUCCUUAUCAUCACUUGUUCCCUUCCUAUGUUCACUCACUGGGUUUAUGCUCACGUUUUUAAACUUCAUGUUUUAGGUUUCUGAGAAAAAGGUGAUUGGAUCCUUAGAUGAGGUUAUCCUCCCUAUCCAUUGUCGGUAGGUUUGCCAUGAUACUAAGUGUUACCACCCACUCCCAGAGUCACUUCGCUGACAUUCAGAGUCUUUGAAUGUGUACAUGUAAACUGGAUGUGAUUUGUUAAAAAUCGUUUGGCAAACUUUUUAUGUAUAUUAAGAUUGAUGAAUACCAUUAUGAAUAUAUACUUGGAUUUUAUGAAUCGAUUUCAAUGAAGUUAUUAUUUGAACAUUAUGAUUUAUGGAACUUAAAAGGGAAUAUGGAUGAUAAAGGGGCUCACGUACAGGUUCAUAUGGGAAUGCUUGCUUGGGCUUAGUGGGCUAUGCCCAUUAGGCCCAUGUGCCGGUCAUGGCCCAAAAAUUGGGCUGUUACAAUGUUGGUAUCAGAGCUCUAGGUUUAGUCUAGUCCUAGGGAUUCUCGUGUCAGUUAAUGGAGUUGUCAGAGUUAAUGUAGAGUCUUGUUUGUUAUUUGUGAUUGCAGCACAAGUCAUUGAUAGGAGGCUACAUAAACUCCUGUUCCUAGUAACCUACCUUUUUGCUAACCUCAUGUAAAGGUCAUAAGUGGUGCCGUCAUUCAGGUUUGAGAUGUCACCCGAGACACGAGUUGUUGUUGGAAGAUUUUAAGUAAAUGUUCCUAAUAAAAGUUUAGUGUGAUGGUAUAUCCCUUCGAUUAAGGAUGGGGGAAAGUGGAGUUGGAUUAGUACAUCCAUGAUAACUUGUUCAUUUGGUGGAGUUAAAAAAUUUGAGCCCAAGAUUGUCAAUGGGAAGAAAAUUUGAUGACUAUGAAUUGUAUUUGGGGUCAAUAUAGAGGAGCAUGUGUGAUAAUGGUAAUAAGGGGCGUACUUUGACUGGAAUGACUAGUGGUUGCUGUAAAUGAGGUGUGGUCAUCAAGAAAAAGUCUAGUAAACCAAACUUGUCACGACCGGUACUCCCCUCGAGCCCAUGACAACCGCCGCGACAUCCCGAUAGAUAUUCAUUGCUCGGAAUGCCAACCGAAACCUCGCAAGGGUUUAAUAUCAGUUUCUCAUUUCCCCUGUGUGUAACUGUUGCCAAAUAUCAUGUUCUAAAGGAUUUUAAGCUAUUUCUAACUUAAAUCAAUAAAAAAAUGAUUUCUGUUUCACAGGGGCAUUUUGGUCAUUUUUCCUUAAAAUCUCGAAACCAGCCAAAAAUAUAGUAUGCGAAUGGAAAACACAUAUUUCAUAAUAAAAAAUAAGUUUAGAUGACUAAAACAUUCAUUUAAAGCGAAACUAUAACUAUUUGAAUAUAAUAAAAAUAUUCAAUAAAAUAUUCUAUUUUCUUAUAAAACAAUAUUUAUAGAGUUCCCAGUAAAUAAUUUUUGUAGCGUAAAAGCUAAAUAAAUUCAUACAUAUUGUAAUACAGAUAACCAAAGCAUAAGAUUUAAUUUACAAUGACACAUGAGCCCACGAACGACCAAAAGUAUCAAAAGCGGUAAACCUACAGUUUUUGAUGAUGCAAGUCUAACUGUAACCCUUAUCAAUGUGAGCUAUCUACCAACUAUCCUGAGCCUAAAAUGGGUGGAAAUGAGGGUGGUGAGAUUAUAUAAUCCUAGUGAGUAAACAAAUACCAUCUAAAAUAUCUAACACUGAGUAAAUGGAGACAAAUAAAAUAGUUUAACAUACUGUAAUUCAUCACAUUUCAAGCAAAUAAAAUCAAUUCAUAUAAAUCGAGUAAUCAACAUGGCUUAUGAAUUUUUUAAAACUUUGGUUCGUGCCAAAAUCAUUCUCAUACUCAGUUAUCAGGGAUACCUUGACUGAGGGUUAUCCCAACCGAGUCCGCCAAGGCUGUUAAAAAGUUAUGUACGCAUAAAUCAUGUUUUUAUUUUAAAACAUAGCCGUUCCUUGGCAUUGGCUGAGUUCACCCUCACGUGGUGGUUUGGCGUGAAGUGAACUCUAAAGUGUUAACCUUAGGAGUUAUCCAUCCGCGCCUCUCAUACUGAGGUAUGAAUAUAAUAAAGUUACCGUGCCCCCUCUAAUAGGCUGGUCCACGGAACCUGUCCACUGCAAUGACUAAUCAAUAACCCACCAAUUCAAUAAAAUUUAACAGCAUGACAUGGCAAUUUUAUCAUUAUCCAGCCUAUCAAGGCAAACAACAGUUUAUAAAUUUUCAACACAAAUACCAAUUCAACCAUUCAUGCCAAUAUUAUCAUAAGCCAUUCAAUUCAAACCAUGAUUUAUAACACAGCAAUUAGUCUCCAAUUACUCCAUUUUCAAAACCAUCUUUCAAUUUCAAGAUAAUUUUAUAAAAUCAUUUCAUUUAAACACAUUUUGUUUAUAAAACAUAAAGAUUUACCAUUUAAACUUAUUUUCCAUAAAAUCACAAAAUUAGAUAAAAACCACUUUAGACAAUUAAGACGAUAGUAAGGUUACUCACUAUUUUGGGAGUCAAAUUCCGAGUACUCCGAUUCUUGAUCCUCAAGUACUAUCUCUUUACUUUUGCCAGAAUGCUCACCACCUGGACAUAAUGCAUAAUAAGCCAUUUACUACAUUUGUGCUAAAUUGUUAUAAAACCAAUUCAAGCUCUAUACUAAUGCAUGAAAUGGGAUGUAAAUUGUUCGAAUUAUCAUCUAAACACGAUGAUCUACACAAAUUCAAUUGUGUACCUAAAUAAAACGGUAUUGGCCUAAUUCGAUCUAUCACCCGAUUAAUUGGCCAAUACGUCCAAUUCAACUCCAAAUAAUUCCAUUUUUCUUCCAAUUCUCCAAACCAUCAAACACAAGUUAAAUAACUUGAAAUAUGGCAAAAUCAUCCUCAGAUUUUCUCUUGGAAAAUUUGGCCAUGGUGGGUGCAUCAACACUAUAAUUUUUCAAGCUUGAUUCUCACACCAUAAAUUACUAAUUCCUAACCAGAUCACUUGAAAUAAAAUCAAAAUCAUCAUCAAUACUCUACAAGGAAGAUUCGGCCAAUGGAGGUUCUUGAGGGGUAUACGGUUUUUCAUGCUCAACAUUACCAUUUUCGGUUUCUACCAACACAAUUCAUUAAAUUUUAACUAAAUAACAUAAGACAUCACAAGAUUCAUCUUCAAUAUUGCCUUUAUGAAAUUCGGCCAAUGAAGAAUCCAUGAAGAACAUGUAAUUUUUCUUACUUGUUUUCCUUCCAAACAUGAUAAAUCAACUAUAAACACUAAAAUAUCUCAAAAUCUAACCAAAUAAAUCAUCAAAUCUUCUCUCUCUAAAUUCGUUCAGCCAUGAAUCCUUCAUGAUAUCUUGUGAUUCAAUCAUGGAAAAUGCAAAAGAAUGCAUGGGAAAGGUAGAUCACAAGUCAAAAUAAAGAAAUUUUACCUUUGAUUGCUUGAUUACUUGAAAUCCACCAAUUUUCUCUUGAAUUUUCACCCUAGGGUUCUUGUUCUUUCUUUUCUUCCUUUGUUCUUGCUUUGGCCAGCCAUAUGAAG